Molecule: ribosomal RNA, 254 nt
Filed under: uncultured bacterium
Lineage: Bacteria
Description: partial 16S ribosomal RNA
Rfam family: Bacterial small subunit ribosomal RNA
Source: RNAcentral
UACAGAGGUCCCAAGCGUUGUUCGGAUUCAUUGGGCGUAAAGAGCUCGUAGGCGGUUCGGCAAGUCGGGUGUGAAAACUCCAGGCUCAACCUGGAGACGCCACCCGAUACUGCUGUGACUCGAGUCCGGUAGGGGACCACGGAAUUCCUGGUGUAGCGGUGAAAUGCGCAGAUAUCAGGAGGAACACCGGUGGCGAAGGCGGCGACCUGGUCCUUGACUGACGCUGAGGCGCGAAAGCGUGGGGAGCAAACAGG